This 85-nucleotide transfer RNA is filed under the name Candidatus Chlorobium antarcticum. RNAcentral's name for it is "tRNA-Leu". It matches the Rfam family "tRNA". From Rfam's summary of the family: Transfer RNA (tRNA) molecules are approximately 80 nucleotides in length. Their secondary structure includes four short double-helical elements and three loops (D, anti-codon, and T loops). The record is from RNAcentral. Lineage: Bacteria; Pseudomonadati; Chlorobiota; Chlorobiia; Chlorobiales; Chlorobiaceae.
GCCAAAGUGGCGGAACUGGUAGACGCGCUGGACUCAAAAUCCAGUGGGUGAAUAACCCGUGUGGGUUCGAUUCCCACCUUUGGUA